GUCUCCAUCAAAAGCCUUGCCCCUACCCUAAAGCCAUGCUUCUACAUAGCUUUUAGCCAUACUUUGGCAGCCACCAACUCCCCUAAUUUCAGCCCUCAAACAUCAUUGCAUAGUUGAAGGAAACCCAUCCCUUGCACUUUCACUAGCAACUCAAAUUUAUUUGAUCUCAAAUAUCCUUCAAAUUGCUCUCUCGUUCCAGCCUAUCCAUGGAGUUUCAAGUAUACAACAAGAGACCACCAUUCAAAGAACUCUUCCUCAUCACACCAUUUAUCACAAGGCUUUGUGACCAGGGGGAUUAGCGCUGCUUUCCCAAGACAGAUUUUUAUGUGUAUGAUCUUCAGGCUUUGCCUAUCCAGGUUGGCUGGCCGGUGCUGACGGGACUGAGGCUAGGGUUCAAUUUCUAUAUAGACUUCCGCUGUAGUAAUGACUCUUAUACACCUUUUAUUUUCUCAACUUAAGAUGAUUUCAUGUCAAGCUUCAAUUUAAAAUUUCUAGUUUUAUGUUAAUGAACGUCGGUUGUCAGAAACAUGAAACAAAACUUAUGAUCCAAAGGGGCCUAGCCCGACUCGUUAUCUUAUUAUUCGGGUUUUAACAA
Molecule: long non-coding RNA, 595 nt
Organism: Salvia miltiorrhiza (redroot sage)
Lineage: Eukaryota; Viridiplantae; Streptophyta; Magnoliopsida; Lamiales; Lamiaceae
Exons: 3
Source: RefSeq, a predicted model, not a curated record